GACGAACGCUGGCGGCGUGCUUAACACAUGCAAGUCGAACGGAAAGGCCCUGCUUUUGUGGGGUGCUCGAGUGGCGAACGGGUGAGUAACACGUGAGUAACCUGCCCUUGACUUUGGGAUAACUUCAGGAAACUGGGGCUAAUACCGGAUAGGAGCUCCUGCUGCAUGGUGGGGGUUGGAAAGUUUCGGCGGUUGGGGAUGGACUCGCGGCUUAUCAGCUUGUUGGUGGGGUAGUGGCUUACCAAGGCUUUGACGGGUAGCCGGCCUGGGAGGGUGACCGGCCACAUUGGGACUGAGAUACGGCCCAGACGCCUACGGGAGGCAGCAGUGGGGAAUAUUGCACAAUGGGCGGAAGCCUGAUGCAGCAACGCCGCGUGCGGGAUGACGGCCUUCGGGUUGUAAACCGCUUUCGCCUGUGACGAAGCGUGAGUGACGGUAAUGGGUAAAGAAGCACCGGCUAACUACGUG
RNAcentral lists this ribosomal RNA (468 nucleotides) under uncultured bacterium. RNAcentral describes it as "partial 16S ribosomal RNA". It matches the Rfam family "Bacterial small subunit ribosomal RNA", at positions 28 to 507 of the family's 1533-position model. The record is from RNAcentral.